CCUACGGGAGGCAGCAGUGAGGAAUAUUGGUCAAUGGUCGGGAGACUGAACCAGCCAAGCCGCGUGAGGGAGGAAGGUACAGAGUAUCGUAAACCUCUUUUGCCGGGGAGCAGAGGUCCGGACGUGUCCGGGCCGGGAGAGUACCCGGAGAAAAAGCAUCGGCUAACUCCGUGCCAGCAGCCGCGGUAAUACGGAGGAUGCGAGCGUUAUCCGGAUUUAUUGGGUUUAAAGGGUGCGUAGGCGGGCAUUUAAGCCGGCGGUCAAAUGUCGGGGCUCAACCCCGGCCUGCCGUCGGAACUGGGUGC
Molecule: ribosomal RNA, 305 nt
Filed under: uncultured bacterium
Lineage: Bacteria
Description: bacterial SSU rRNA
Rfam family: Bacterial small subunit ribosomal RNA
Source: RNAcentral